GGCAUCAAUUCUGAGACAUCUGUUGUAUCUCAGCUAUGUGAUAGGCUUGAAAGAACAGUGAGUGAUGCCCAGGGGUUUCCUUCAGUUGACAGACAGAGAGAUAUCCUCAACCAGUCCCAGAUAUUUAAUCUAGUCUGGGUUGGCCGCUACAAAUUGGCAGCUGUAGGGCCAGAACAAAUAGAACGUAUUCUGGGCUACCCAGAAAAUCACACUCGAGUUGCUGC
RNAcentral lists this unclassified non-coding RNA (224 nucleotides) under Hevea brasiliensis (rubber tree). Lineage: Eukaryota; Viridiplantae; Streptophyta; Magnoliopsida; Malpighiales; Euphorbiaceae. The record is from RNAcentral.